AGCUGAUUUGCAGUGUUAUAGAGCAAAGUGACCCAGCCAUACAUAUACAUACAUUCUUUUUCUCAUAUCAUCCCCCAACAUAUUCCAUGCCAUGAGAUUGGACACAGUUCCCUGUGCUAUAUGGUAAAAGAGGUGGGGUUUUUUUGUUUUGCUUUGUUUUUCUUUUCCUUUUAGUGCCACACCCAUGGUAUAUGGAACUUCCCAGGCUAGGGAUUGAAUUAGAGCUACAACUACCAGCCUACACCACAGUCGUGCCAAAGUGCUAUCUGAGCCGCAUCUGCAACCUACACUGCAACUUGUGGCAAUGCCAGAUUCUUAACCCACUGAGCAAGGCUGGGAAUCAAACCCUAAUCCUCACAGAUACUAUGGCAGAUUCUUAACCCGCUGAGCCACAACAGGAACUCCAGGUUUGUUUUUUUAAAAAAAAAAAAAAAAGUCAAAUGAAAAGAUGUUGAUAAAAGAAUUGUAAAUUCAAGGAGGUUCAGAGUCAGUGGGGUUUUCCAAGGGAAAUAUUGACAUCAAUUGUUAAAUUGCUGAGGCAUCGGGGAGGUAGAAAGAUAUGGGAGCUGCUUCUAGAGAAAGUAAAGAAAUAAGUCUUUGACCACAUUGUGGGUCAAGACACAACCGAGGCACUGAUGAGAAAGUGCAGACCUGCCAAGGACUCAGGAUGUUCUGACAGGGAAAGGAGGGGAAUAGGGAAGAGGAAUCUUGGAUGAAAAUAGGCUUUUGGUUUGUACUUAAAGACGGUGAGUCUCUGGUUGCAGCCCAAAGGCAUCCGAGCUCCAGGGAUACAAAUGGAGGACCAUCCAGAGAGGGGUUAUUAAAAAGGGCUCCAAGGCAGGAGGAGAAGGAUAGAAGAGACACCAGGUCAAGCAGAAUGAAGCCAGAUGAUCAAGUCAUGAAGAAGGACAACAUUCCUGACACCAGCAAGGGGAAGGCCCUUCUUCCUCUAGAGAAAAAGGCCCCUGCUCCAUCCAGCCUUGAAGGCCAUUCUGCUGCUCUCUAG
Molecule: long non-coding RNA, 1006 nt
Filed under: Sus scrofa (pig)
Lineage: Eukaryota; Metazoa; Chordata; Mammalia; Artiodactyla; Suidae
Description: lncRNA (ENSSSCG00005028013.1)
Source: RNAcentral